GGGAAAGGAGCUAGGAUGAAGGAGGUGCAGGAAAGGAGGAAGGAGGGAGAGAAUCUUUUUAAAAAGGAGGAUGGGAGGCGUUAAGGCAUGUGGCUAAUGUGAUUAACAGUGGUCUAGGGGCAACGUGGGGUAUUAAUUUUGAUCUCCCUAGAUUUAUGGCUGCUGUGAAAAUGCAUGACUGUGAGGCAGGGGCUGGAUGGCAGGGGAACCCAGGAAGCUCUCCUGUUUCUCUCCACUGAGAGCUGGCCAGGUGAGAGCAGGGUAAAAUUCACCUGAAAGAACAAGGUCCCUGGCUCUGAGAAGCCCAAAGUAAGGACUCAGGAGAAGAACCCACCAGGAAACUGGCAUUAUUAUAUCUCUGCUGUGUGGGGCUCUAGGUUGUGCUGUGUCCCCCCUCACCCUGGACCCCAGCUCCCCCCAAGUGGUUGGGUAUCAGGCUCUUCCACAAACAGAUUCUAUGGUUUCCCCUUAAUGCCCCAAGAUUGGAUGUGAAAAUCCUUUCUAGGGGAAGCACAUCCAACCAGGGCUAUGGGGGAGAGGAUGACCUGAACUCCGCGGUAACUGGGUGUUUUCCAGGUCUAAAGACUGAGGGAUAGUCAGAGCCAAGAGGAGGCUGGGAAGACAUGAGGACUAAGUGCAGUGCGGGGUCCUGGGGCAGGAAAAAGCAUUUGAGGAAGCUGGAAUGAAGUGUGGACUUUAGUUAAGAAUAAUGUUUCAAUAUGGUCUUGUUAAUGGAAACAAAUGUACCAUAAGACAUCAAUAAUAGGGAAAACUGGGUGUGUAAUAUGUGGAAAAUCUCUAUACUAUCUUUGUAAUUUUUCUGUAAAUCUAAAACAACUCUAAAAUUAAAUAGUUUUAAUGUGUGAGUCACCAGUAGUGUGGACUCAAAGAUGGGAACAUUGCCUCUGGAAAGGUCAUGUUUAAGAUACACUUUCAGUUUAGUUCAGUUCAGUCAUUCAGCCGUGUCUGACUCUUUGUGACCCCAUGAACUGCAGCACGCCAGGCC
RNAcentral lists this long non-coding RNA (1006 nucleotides) under Capra hircus (goat). Its description in RNAcentral is "lncRNA (ENSCHIG00010003357.1)". The record is from RNAcentral. Lineage: Eukaryota; Metazoa; Chordata; Mammalia; Artiodactyla; Bovidae.